UACGUAGGUGGCGAGCGUUGUCCGGAUUUACUGGGCGUAAAGGGAGCGUAGGCGGACAGUUAAGUGAGAUGUGAAAUACUCGGGCUCAACUUGAGUGCUGCAUUUCAAACUGGAAGUCUAGAGUGCAGGAGAGGAGAAUGGAAUUCCUAGUGUAGCGGUGAAAUGCGUAGAGAUUAGGAAGAACACCAGUGGCGAAGGCGAUUCUCUGGACUGUAACUGACGCUGAGGCUCGAAAGCGUGGGGAGCAAACAGG
RNAcentral lists this ribosomal RNA (253 nucleotides) under uncultured bacterium. RNAcentral describes it as "partial 16S ribosomal RNA". It matches the Rfam family "Bacterial small subunit ribosomal RNA", at positions 524 to 776 of the family's 1533-position model. The record is from RNAcentral.